Asterias rubens (European starfish) is the source of this 854-nucleotide long non-coding RNA. RefSeq lists it as uncharacterized. The transcript is spliced from 3 exons. Lineage: Eukaryota; Metazoa; Echinodermata; Asteroidea; Forcipulatida; Asteriidae. The record is from RefSeq and is a predicted model, not a curated record.
UCUGUGUGAGCCAGCAUUUGUGGUGUGAGCAUGUGUGUGGGCAGAGCAGUGUCUCACCACUAUACAGCACGGCUAAUGAACCGACGGACCACCGCCGUAGCUAUCUAAUCUCUCAAUAUACAGGGAUACCAAUACAUCUAACUGUAUGAAGAGACAAGGGUCCCUGUAUUUAAUUGGGCAGUUGUGAGGACUGCCGCUGCAGUCUGCGUACUUACCUUCCACUCGUCGGCAUCACGGUAUACCUGCACGCUGACGGGAAGAUCCGACGACGGCUUGAAAAAAUGGCAGGCAUUCUCUGUGGCAACGACUGAAACCUGCAGCUGGAUUUUUAAAAUAAUAAAGCAGUAUUGGAAGUGUAUACUGAUGGAAUAAAACUCCGGCAAGAAAAAGAUAGAAGCGAGACUAACAGUCUACUGGUCAUAUAAGACCCAGCCACGACCCUCAGCUUGAGUCAACACUGGAUCGAGGAGAUAGAGAUCUCUAAUAUUUCAAUUGAUACAAUUGGAGAGUUGACAGGAUAAAGUUACAAUAGUCAAACACAAAAGCGGAGAGAAAAUGAAGUAUGCAUGAGAUAUAUGUCAGCCCUAGAGACUGGGAAGACCGAAGCAAUAAUGGUUAAGUGUCUUACUUAAGGGCACAAGCGUCACGACCUGCACUUGAUCCCACACUCUGCUGAUCAGGAACACCAGAGCUUAAGUCCGAAGCUUACCGCUCAUCAUCAGCCACAACACGCCACAAGUGAGUAAUAUUAGUUCAGUAUGCAAAGCCUUACAAUGAACUGAAACUUUACAGUACAUACAAGUUUAUGGGCUUAAAAUAUUUUAAAACAUUUUUAGCUUUAAAAACUUGCUUGU